UACGAAGGGAGCUAGCGUUGUUCGGAAUCACUGGGCGUAAAGCGCACGUAGGCGGAUUGUUUAGUCAGGGGUGAAAUCCCGGAGCUCAACUUCGGAACUGCCUUUGAUACUGGCAAUCUCGAGUCCGAUAGAGGUGGGUGGAAUUCCUGGUGUAGCGGUGAAAUGCGCAGAUAUCUGGAGGAACACCGGUGGCGAAGGCGGCAUCCUGGACCAACACUGACGCUGAGUGAGCGAAAGCCAGGGGAGCAAACGGG
RNAcentral lists this ribosomal RNA (254 nucleotides) under uncultured bacterium. Its description in RNAcentral is "partial 16S ribosomal RNA". It matches the Rfam family "Bacterial small subunit ribosomal RNA", at positions 524 to 776 of the family's 1533-position model. The record is from RNAcentral.